UGUUCCCUGCGUUUCCUAAGUUUAUUAACCAAAAUGCAGUUUGCUGAGCUCCGAGCCUCAUUGCUUCAGCAUUUGGGUCCUCCACCAACCUCCACACGUGACAGUAACUCAGUGUUAUGUACUUACCUGACACUAAUCAGUUUACAAGAGCAGGCACCAAUUAUUUUUAAUUGGAAGCUAUUUAAUUUUUGACCAAAAAAAAAAAAAGAAAAAAAAAGAAAAAAAAUAUCAGCUCCCCCUCUAAAUGAACUUGUGUGUGUGUCUUUUGAGUGCAUAGCUAAUUGAAGCUUCACACACACUGGCCACAGUAAUGAAGUUGCUCAUCUGUGUGCAUGCCCUGGUUCGAUAAGCCUGCCGAUGGAGCUUCUGCCGCACUGGAUGCUGAGGUCUUGCUGUUGACAGUGCUGAUGUGAUUUCCCAUGGGGCAAUGCGGCGUGACAUUACUAAGCAGCGAGGAGAUUGACGCUGGGCUGCCAACAUCUUUUCUUGCAGCAGCCAAUCCACCCAGCAACAAGAUCUCUCUGACACCAUGUGGCUUUAUUUGAAAAUGUAGCAUCUGCCAAGCUGUUUUAAAGGGAUACUUCACCCAUUUUGAAAAAUGUGAUACUAUUUCACACCCCCCUGGUGUAAGUUCCCACCCACUAAGUGUACAACAGGUACAAAAUCAGUACAUAACAAAAUGCCAUUUAACAUGACAAUCUUUGUUAGUAAGAGCACACAACAUCUGAAAUAGCAAAUAAAUUAGGUCAUCAAUAAAU
Molecule: long non-coding RNA, 758 nt
Organism: Myripristis murdjan (pinecone soldierfish)
Lineage: Eukaryota; Metazoa; Chordata; Actinopteri; Holocentriformes; Holocentridae
Exons: 2
Source: RefSeq, a predicted model, not a curated record